AUGCAGGUUUGUGGCGUUCAGUUGAGCUCAGCAACAUCUCGCUGCCGAGAAUCAUGGUCGCCAUUUGGUGGAUCUUAUGAGUAUGCUGGACAUAGCUGUUGCAUCUCUGGGAGUCAAAGACCGUUAUGUAGAGUACAAUGCUGUCAGGUGCCACCUUCUACUAGAAAUGUAGCUCAUCUUCAGAAGUAGGACAAAUAUUCUUGUGUUGAUAGGUCAACUUCUUAUCUGCACGUGCAAACUCUUAGGAAUUUCCCAAUUGAAAAACUUUAUGGAGAGGUGGUCCUGUUGUGACUUGAUUCUGUUCUUCUUUUGGAUCCUCUAGGAUUAUUUAGUUGCUCACUGAAAAGGACACUGUCAACUAUCAAAUACCUGUACAAAGCAGGAGGGAAAGUUCUUCUAGUUCCAGUCCCCCAGUCUGUUAAUCCAGUGUUCAAGUCAAUCAAAUCUUUUGCAGACUAUAUGUCAGCGCUUCUUCAAGUAAAGGUCAUCCCGGUGGAUGGUGUCCCUUGUUUAACAUCAUGUAAGAAGGAAGAAUGGGUGCAGAAUGAUAUUAUCUUGUUUGAAAAUCUUUUGAACUUCAGGGGAGAAAAUGCAAACUGCAAUAAUUUUUCUCAGAAGCUAGCGUCAGGUGCAGCAAUCUUUGUCAAUGAUUCUUUCUCAUUGUCUCAUAAGAUUCACGCAUCAACGGUUGGCAUCACUCGUUUCUGCUAUGCAUCUCUUGCUGGUUUCCAUUUUGAGGAGGAGCUUAUGCAAUCGCUAAAGAUCAAUGACACCACAAGGCCAUACAUAGCAAUAAUUGGAGGCAGUAACUUCUUGAGAAAGGCACCUGCACCGCAUCUGUUAGCCCAACGCGAUGGGUUGUUUCUUGUUGGAAAGUUAUCAUUUCAAAUAAUGAAUGGCCUUGGAAUUCCAGUGUCCUCCUGUUUGCUAGAAAAAAAUGCAACCAAGGAAGUGUUACAACUUAUUAAAAUAGCCCAUAAUAGGAACAUUCCUAUUUAUUAUCCAACAGACCUGUGGUGUUUGAACAGCAACAAUAAUGAACAACUCGAAAUAUUUGACUCAGCUGAACUAUUGUCUGGUGAGUAUGACUGGGCUUUAUUUAUUUAUCUAUGUAUUUUUGUUCAUGUGGUUCCUAUUACUCGUGUCAUAUUUACUGGCAAUGGCAGCACUAAUCAUUCUUUAGAAUCAACAUCCUGUUUGGAAUACGACUCUUAA
This 1215-nucleotide ribosomal RNA is filed under the name Triticum aestivum (bread wheat). RNAcentral describes it as "partial small subunit ribosomal RNA". The record is from RNAcentral. Lineage: Eukaryota; Viridiplantae; Streptophyta; Magnoliopsida; Poales; Poaceae.